This 76-nucleotide transfer RNA is filed under the name Burkholderiales bacterium. RNAcentral's name for it is "tRNA-Lys". It matches the Rfam family "tRNA". From Rfam's summary of the family: Transfer RNA (tRNA) molecules are approximately 80 nucleotides in length. Their secondary structure includes four short double-helical elements and three loops (D, anti-codon, and T loops). The record is from RNAcentral. Lineage: Bacteria; Pseudomonadati; Pseudomonadota; Betaproteobacteria; Burkholderiales.
GGGUCGUUAGCUCAGUUGGUAGAGCAGCGGACUUUUAAUCCGUUGGUCGUUGGUUCAAGUCCAACACGGCCUACCA